UACGUAGGGUGCGGGCGUUAAUCGGAAUUACUGGGCGUAAAGGGUGCGUAGGUGGGUUGGUAAGUCAGUGGUGAAAUCCCCGAGCUUAACUUGGGAACUGCCAUUGAUACUAUCAGUCUUGAAUACCGUGGAGGUCGGCGGAAUAUGUCAUGUAGCGGUGAAAUGCUUAGAUAUGACAUAGAACACCAAUUGCGAAGGCAGCUGACUACGCGAGUAUUGACACUGAGGCACGAAAGCGUGGGGAUCAAACAGG
RNAcentral lists this ribosomal RNA (253 nucleotides) under uncultured bacterium. RNAcentral's name for it is "partial 16S ribosomal RNA". It matches the Rfam family "Bacterial small subunit ribosomal RNA", at positions 524 to 776 of the family's 1533-position model. The record is from RNAcentral.